UUUUUGUAAUAAUUUAAAGUCUAAUCUGCCCACUGAUAUUAUUAAAGGGCUGCAGUAUUUUGACUGUACAAAGGUAGCAUAAUCAUUUGUCUCUUAAUUGGUGACUUGUAUGAAAGAUUGAAUGAAAUAUGAACUGUCUCAAUUUAAUUUAUAAAAUUUAAUUUUUUAGUCAAAAAGCUAAAAUAAAUUUAAAAGACGAGAAGACCCUAUAGAGUUUUAUAAUUAUAUUAAUUAUAAUAAAAUAUAAAUUUUUUAAUUAAAAUUAAUAUAAUUAUUUUGUUGGGGUGACAAAAAAAUUAAAUUAACUUUUUUUAAAAAAUUUACAUUAAUUUAUGAUUUUAUGAUCCAUUUUUAGUGAUUAAAAGAAAAAAUUACCUUAGGGAUAACAGCGUAAUUUUUUUUUUUAGAUCAAAUAAAAAAAAAAGUUUGCGACCUCGAUGUUGGAUUAAGAUAAAAUUUAAAUGCAAAAGUUUAAAAUUUUUGAUCUGUUCGAUCAUUAAAAUCUUACAUG
This 511-nucleotide ribosomal RNA is filed under the name Pachliopta aristolochiae. RNAcentral describes it as "partial 16S ribosomal RNA". The stretch from base 382 to 511 matches the Rfam family "Bacterial large subunit ribosomal RNA", at positions 2473 to 2602 of the family's 2925-position model. The record is from RNAcentral. Lineage: Eukaryota; Metazoa; Arthropoda; Insecta; Lepidoptera; Papilionidae.